Long non-coding RNA from Portunus trituberculatus (swimming crab), 1573 nucleotides. RefSeq lists it as uncharacterized. NCBI's taxonomy places the organism in Eukaryota, Metazoa, Arthropoda, Malacostraca, Decapoda, Portunidae. The record is from RefSeq and is a predicted model, not a curated record. The transcript is spliced from 3 exons.
UUUGAGAAGAGGAUAGAGCUACUUCUUUCUCUAAAUAUUAAUAACAUCAAUUAACAAGAAAGCAAAACUCGUAAAGUAAACAAAUCAAUCUGCCCUCUCUUACAAUAAAUAAAUAAAUAAAUAGAUAAAUCACUAGUUUCGAAUCACUUAACACCUGGUUCAAACGCUUCGAGUCAUGAGAUCACUGAGUAUUAAGGGGUGGGGGGAGCAGACGCCAACCAGUUCCUGUAUCGUCAACACUUACCUACACACCGCAGCUUCCUUUGUGGUGUGAGGGAAAACUGGUCAAGGGGAACAGAACGAGCAGAAAAAGCAAGGCCUACUUUGAUGCCAGUCUCCGUGCAGGUUCGAGAGAGUUACUUGGUGAGAUUGGUGGUGUUUUCUCAUCAAUUCUCCAGCUGGAAUGUCACACUUAUGGAAUGGUUGGAUAUAAAGAAGGGAGUGAGUUGUGAGUUGUACUUCCACUUCCUGCAGCACCAACUCACCGUGAAGAGUCCAGCAGCCUCCGAGAUGAGCCGUGUCUCCACUGGCUUGGUCUUGUUCUCCUCCUCGAAGCCUGGUGUCUGAGUGUCCGGCGGGUAACACACUGUCACUGUUAUCCCGUGUGGCUUCAGCUGGGAGACAGAUACAAUGCUCGACUAGCAAACAAACUCGGACUACAAGAAGAGGAUGCAAUGAAUAGAAACAGAUGGAAAAAAUUGCAAGACUCUACAACAUGUGGGAAUAAUAAUAAUAAUAUGAAGAUGCUCAACAAGCUAUACCAAGUAAUAGAGGCCAGUAGCACCUUCCCUCACCUCCAUGUGCAGGGCCUCAGCCAGCUUGACCACAGCAGCCUUGGCAGCAGAGUAGGCUGUGAACCCAUACAGGCCAACCAGUCCGCCCUGUGACGAGGUGAACACCACAGCACCUCCCUCAGCCCGCUGCUUCAUGCCCCGCACCACCUCCUGCGUCACUGUGAACGACCCCAUCAAGUUCACAUCAAUCAGCUCCUGCAAAGGUAAGGAAGCCAUCAAUGGUGGUGAAAAUCCUUCUGUCUCAAAUUUUUACUCUUUCCAGCAGUCUCUCAGCAUUCAUUAUCAGUAGUCUUUUAAAUUCUUGUAUCCUUAACCCCUUCAAUACUGAGAUGUAUUUUUACCAUGAUUUUUGGGUAUGGUUAGAUGAUUUUAUUUGCAUUAGGAAGGGUCUAUGGGGCUCAAAAGAUUAAUGGCCAAAGUCUUAACAGUUCAAUCACCACAUUAGUUUUAUAAAAUCAUCAAAUAAUAACCAGAAUGAAUAUGUGGUAUGGUACUGAAGGGGUUAAGUGUAGUAUAUUCUAUUCAUCCAGUUUUUUGAGUCAAUCUUAUUUUGUGCCAUGAUGAGGGAACAGUCGGGUCUUUACAUCAUUUUGAGAUCUACAGCAAAAUACAAGAAAAAACAUCUGCACUCACCUUGACAAGGCUCUGUGGGAUGUCCUCAAAUACCUGAGCUCUGGCAAACCCGGCACAGUUGACCAGCAUGUACACUGGCCCCUGACUUGCUUCGGCCUCCUUGAUGGCCGUGGCAAUGUUCUCUCGUCUCCCAGCCAAGUCCACUG